CUCUCAUUAACCAUUUUCAGUGCCAAGAUUCAAAAACAUUAAAAACAUGUCCUUUCAACCCAAAGGAAAUGAAAUAAAAUCAAACAGAUAAAAACACAUAUUCUUAAUAGUUUAAUGAAAUAUAUAUAUAUAUUUAUAUUGUCUUAUUCAUUCAAGAAGGAGUAAUUUAAGUCACUUUGUCCAUUUCUUGAAUUUUGACUAAUUUCUCUUUUCCUGGGCAUCUCAAUAUUCCUCUUUGCAUAAGGUUGUGCUGACAUAGUCUGUGGCAACAGCAGGGAUGACUAGGACCUCACACACAUUUUUAUUGCAAUGAAAUUUUCACUGGAAAAUAUUAGAAUGAAUUGAACUGAAAAUUAACAAAAAAUGAAAAAGACACUCCCAACAUUAGGAUCAGGCUCUGAUUCCUCCCAUAGAUGAUGAUGAUUAUUAUUAUUUUAUUUUAUUUAUUUUUUAGUUAGGCUGGCCUUGCUGUGUGUUUCUUGCCUGCAUCAAGUUAAAACAGAAAAGGUUUGCAAUUCAGCACUGCAGGUGUAAACCAUAAGCUGUGCUAGGUCUGUGAAUGUUCUUGUGAUUAAGCACUAAAUUGGAUGCUCUGGUCACCUAGGUUUGACUCUCAUGUCUGUCAUUGAUUUCUAGUCAUUUACGGGAUCGUUUUGUGCUCAGGUCACCUGUGGUGAAUAAAUGAAUCCAGAUAAAUAUUUAGAUAUUUGAAAAUCUGCUGGCAUUUAUGUUUUCACUACAUAAUUUCUAGGAAACCUGGCAGUCUUUCUGCUGUCAAAGCUGCCAUCAACCUGGCAGGGCACAGUGAGUCAUUGCCAGGCCUGCCCAGGACACAGCUUUUCUCCAUCUCACAUCCCUUGGCGGCCUAAUGUGAUGAGUAUAUUCAGAAGGUGCCUAACGCAACAGAAAACACUGAUCUUCAGUCAUUUUUUUCUGCAAAACCCUAGCAAGAGAAGGAGGAAGAGGAGGUGCUAUCUGUUUUUAUGGAGGGUUCAAAGGUGUGCAAGACUUUUAAAGCGAAAUGAAGACAGAUAUGGGACCAGGAAGAAAGCUGAACCACCCUCAGCUAAUUCUUCUGUUGGAGUACUGUAAAGAUGCAGAAAGUUUUCCUCCACUGAGAAAAUGUUUUCAGGAUCCUGCCAUUAUUAUCUACAAUGAGUCAUAGAAAAAAAGCUUGUCUUACCCAUGCUUCAUAACAACUUUAAUGCUGAAGAAGGGACUUGUUGAAAAUACCUAAUUAAAGGGAGCAGAAAAGGGCAAUGAAUGAAUUAUCCCUGUAGUUUUAUGAAGUCAAAAAAUAAUCAGUUCCAAAUUGGGAGGUUCUCUUUUGUAUAAUUUGAUAAUUGUAGUGGCAACUUACAUGAGCUUGCCCCUGGCAUCAACUUUGUCUGCUGUUUUAUUACUUAUACUUUAUCAUUGUCUUUUUCUUUCUAUACUAAACAGUCAGGGACAUAUCUUAUUUUGGAAGAUGUUCAGCAUAAGCUGAUAAGAGGAAAGCACAGAAGUUUUCAGAAAUAAUGAAUAGAGAAUAUAGAGUAUUUAUGCACUGUAGCAUCUUUAUGGUGUCUGAAUGAUGGUUUCAAGCUCUUCACUUUUAUUGUUGUUGUUGUUGUUAUGGUUUUACUAAACUACUCAGCCCAAAUGACAAAAAAUAACUCCAGAAAAGCUGUUCUGUUCUGUUUACGUGUGUAUAAAUACACAUGUAAAAAAUUAACAUUUUUCUUUAAGUUUUUAAACUUUAAGUUUUUUUAAUUCUUCCAACAUUUGGUCAAGUUUGUUCCCCUUCCUGUGGAGAUGUCCAUCCUCAUAUCCCUACCCUCUAACCACAGGCUUUAAAAUUCUGACUCCAAAAACACCUCCCACUUGAGUCUCUGUUCAUGUUCAAUACAAUAAUUAAUGCAUCCAUCUCAUGAGUACCAGGCUCAUCACAACUUGGACUUUUUUCUGCAUUUGGAACAGGAAGUCUACAUUUUCAUUUCACCUAAGUUCUUGAGAGCAAAGCUGGCUGGAGAUGUGAGAUAUGAGGCUAGAAACAGGGACAAGUCACCUCUGGUCCUCUGGUGCUCACUGUCUACACACAAGAGCUUAAUUUCAGAUUAGAGAAGGAUAUCCCUGCAGAAAGCUUACAGAUCAUUUUGCAUGUCGCUUUUAAGUGUUUUAUAUACUACUACUAUCUGUUGUGACAUCUUGGGAAUUUCUGAGUUAUAGCCAAGUGAUUUAUGAGGUCUUAUUAAUUUGACAGACCCAAGUGAUUCAAACAGAACCAUUAUGGUCAAAUUAACUUCUCAUCAAAGAGCUAGUCAGCUAUACAUUAAGCUGUAGAAGUGUCUUUUGAAGAGGUGUAGUUAGGUGUUGUCAAUAUUGAUAAGUCAAAAUCUUUUAAUGCAUCUUUUAAUUUUUUACAGUGCUGUGAAUAAUAUGUAGAUCCACAAUAUGUUGGCCACACCAAGUUGUUCCGCUGGGAAAAUUAUAAAUAUUUUGAAAAUUAAUGAUUGUAUAUCAGAUGCAUUAGUCUGAUUGUAAAACAGUUCUGUAAUAUGGAUUAAAAUCAGUGGCUGAAAGCAAUUCAGAUGCAACUCUCAAAUGUGCUCACCAAAUGCGAUGCUUUGUCUAUACACAUAACCAGGUUAAACAGGAACAAAUAUGUAUAAGAUUAAUGUUAUUUGUAUUAUCAUAAAAUGUGAAGGUCUUGUGAGACCAAGACCCCUUUCUGUAUAUAACAAGAGUCUCUACCCCAGAGAAUUUACAGAUUAAGCAGAUUAAGCAGACAAGAGUUCCAAAACGAAAAAAAAAAAAAAAAAAAAAAAGGAAAAAAAUAACAAAAUAAAGUAUUUUGAAGCUGGGAAACCA
RNAcentral lists this long non-coding RNA (2850 nucleotides) under Anas platyrhynchos platyrhynchos (common mallard). RNAcentral describes it as "lncRNA (ENSAPLG00000024094.1)". The record is from RNAcentral. Lineage: Eukaryota; Metazoa; Chordata; Aves; Anseriformes; Anatidae.